Mycena latifolia is the source of this 98-nucleotide non-coding RNA. Lineage: Eukaryota; Fungi; Basidiomycota; Agaricomycetes; Agaricales; Mycenaceae. The record is from the annotation of a GenBank genome assembly.
GGUUCGGUAGCGCGUGGUGCGCAUCUGCACUUGGUUAUCAAUGUUAUCGAGUUCAGUCCUUUAUGCAGACCCCGCCCGUUCGACUCGGGCCCGAGCCA